GUUGUCGUGGCCGAGUGGUUAAGGCGAUGGACUUGAAAUCCAUUGGGAUCUAACCUUGCAGGUUCGAAUCCUGCCGACAACG
RNAcentral lists this transfer RNA (82 nucleotides) under Merluccius polli (Benguela hake). It matches the Rfam family "tRNA". From Rfam's summary of the family: Transfer RNA (tRNA) molecules are approximately 80 nucleotides in length. Their secondary structure includes four short double-helical elements and three loops (D, anti-codon, and T loops). Lineage: Eukaryota; Metazoa; Chordata; Actinopteri; Gadiformes; Merlucciidae. The record is from Rfam by way of RNAcentral.